GGGGAAUAUUGCACAAUGGGGGAAACCCUGAUGCAGCGACGCCGCGUGGAGGAAGAAGGUCUUCGGAUUGUAAACUCCUGUUGUUGAGGAAGAUAAUGACGGUACUCAACAAGGAAGUGACGGCUAACUACGUGCCAGCAGCCGCGGUAAAACGUAGGUCACAAGCGUUGUCCGGAAUUACUGGGUGUAAAGGGAGCGCAGGCGGACCGGCAAGUUGGAAGUGAAAACUAUGGGCUCAACCCAUAAAUUGCUUUCAAAACUGCUGGCCUUGAGUAGUGCAGAGGUAGGCGGAAUUCCCGGUGUAGCGGUGGAAUGCGUAGAUAUCGGGAGGAACACCAGUGGCGAAGGCGGCCUACUGGGCACCAACUGACGCUGAGGCUCGAAAGUGUGGGUAGCAAACAGGAUUAGAUACCCUGGUAGUCCACACCGUAAACGAUGAUUACUAGGUGUUGGAGGAUUGACCCCUUCAGUGCCGCAGUUAACACAAUAAGUAAUCCACCUGGGGAGUACGACCGCAAGGUUGAAACUCAAAGGAAUUGACGGGGGCCCGCACAAGCAGUGGAGUAUGUGGUUUAAUUCGACGCAACGCGAAGAACCUUACCAAGUCUUGACAUCCCUUGACAGACAUAGAAAUAUGUAUUCUCUUCGGAGCAAGGAGACAGGUGGUGCAUGGUUGUCGUCAGCUCGUGUCGUGAGAUGUUGGGUUAAGUCCCGCAACGAGCGCAACCCUUAUGGUCAGUUACUACGCAAGAGGACUCUGGCCAGACUGCCGUUGACAAAACGGAGGAAGGUGGGGAUGACGUCAAAUCAUCAUGCCCUUUAUGACUUGGGCUACACACGUACUACAAUGGCGUUAAACAAAGAGAAGCAAGACCGCGAGGUGGAGCAAAACUCAGAAACAACGUCCCAGUUCGGACUGCAGGCUGCAACUCGCCUGCACGAAGUCGGAAUUGCUAGUAAUCGUGGAUCAGCAUGCCACGGUGAAUACGUUCCCG
RNAcentral lists this ribosomal RNA (995 nucleotides) under uncultured bacterium. RNAcentral's name for it is "bacterial SSU rRNA". It matches the Rfam family "Bacterial small subunit ribosomal RNA", at positions 356 to 1376 of the family's 1533-position model. The record is from RNAcentral.